GGAGAGGUGGCAGAGUGGUCGAAUGCACCGCCUUGCUAAGGCGGCGUGCGGGUAACCGUACCGUGGGUUCGAAUCCCACCCUCUCCGCCA
This 90-nucleotide transfer RNA is filed under the name Pseudobdellovibrionaceae bacterium. RNAcentral describes it as "Bdellovibrionaceae bacterium tRNA-Ser". It matches the Rfam family "tRNA". From Rfam's summary of the family: Transfer RNA (tRNA) molecules are approximately 80 nucleotides in length. Their secondary structure includes four short double-helical elements and three loops (D, anti-codon, and T loops). Further hydrogen bonds mediate the characteristic L-shaped molecular structure. tRNAs have two regions of fundamental functional importance: the anti-codon, which is responsible for specific mRNA codon recognition, and the 3' end, to which the tRNAs corresponding amino acid is attached (by aminoacyl-tRNA synthetases). tRNAs cope with the degeneracy of the genetic code in two manners: having more than one tRNA (with a specific anti-codon) for a particular amino acid; and 'wobble' base-pairing, i.e. permitting non-standard base-pairing at the 3rd anti-codon position. The record is from RNAcentral. Lineage: Bacteria; Pseudomonadati; Bdellovibrionota; Bdellovibrionia; Bdellovibrionales; Pseudobdellovibrionaceae.